Molecule: long non-coding RNA, 504 nt
Organism: Acanthaster planci (crown-of-thorns starfish)
Lineage: Eukaryota; Metazoa; Echinodermata; Asteroidea; Valvatida; Acanthasteridae
Source: RefSeq, a predicted model, not a curated record
UCCGAUUGAGGGCGCUGUGCAUAGUUAUGUCCCGCGAUGACUGUGCAACGUUCGAAGUGUUACUUUUUACGUUUUGUAAAAACUUCACGAUUUUCACCACAAAAAAGACGUCAUUGGUGAAGCGUGGGACAUCCUAUGGUACCAUUUUUCCACAUAAACAACUCAAAAGAUGGUCAAGUGAUGCAGACAGCUGUUAACAAGUUAACAUCCGGUCUGUUCCUACUUAUUCAUCUCUUUGCCAUCAACCAUUCAAGACGACAUCACUAAUUGAUAAAGAGAAGAGUUACAAUGUGUGCAUCCAAGAAUUGGACUACAGUGAGAACACAUCUGUGCUGGUCUACUGACACCAUUGUGCUGUCAUAGGAGGGAGGCAGCAGACAGACCACGCCCAGCCAUUCCACUUUGUCACUCAUUUAGUGGUCAUUAAAGGACACCAUUCAGGUUGACGGGGUCUGCUGAUGAACAGUUGACCGACGGAGCAGGAAAUUCAUUAGGGCUGUAAAG